ACGCUGGCGGCGUGCCUAAUACAUGCAAGUAGAACGCUGAAGAGAGGAGCUUCCUCUUCUUGGAUGAGUUGCGAACGGGUGAGUAACGCGUAGGUAACCUGCCUUGUAGCGGGGGAUAACUAUUGGAAACGAUAGCUAAUACCGCAUAACAAUGGGUGACACAUGUCAUUUAUUUGAAAGGGGCAAUUGCUCCACUACAAGAUGGACCUGCGUUGUAUUAGCUAGUAGGUGAGGUAGCGGCUCACCUAGGCGACGAUACAUAGCCGACCUGAGAGGGUGAUCGGCCACACUGGGACUGAGACACGGCCCAGACUCCUACGGGAGGCAGCAGUAGGGAAUCUUCGGCAAUGGGGGCAACCCUGACCGAGCAACGCCGCGUGAGUGAAGAAGGUUUUCGGAUCGUAAAGCUCUGUUGUAAGUCAAGAACGAGUGUGAGAGUGGAAAGUUCACACUGUGACGGUAGCUUACCAGAAAGGGACGGCUAACUACGUGCCAGCAGCCGCGGUAAUACGUAGGUCCCGAGCGUUGUCCGGAUUUAUUGGGCGUAAAGCGAGCGCAGGCGGUUUGAUAAGUCUGAAGUUAAAGGCUGUGGCUCAACCAUAGUUCGCUUUGGAAACUGUCAAACUUGAGUGCAGAAGGGGAGAGUGGAAUUCCAUGUGUAGCGGUGAAAUGCGUAGAUAUAUGGAGGAACACCGGUGGCGAAAGCGGCUCUCUGGUCUGUAACUGACGCUGAGGCUCGAAAGCGUGGGGAGCGAACAGGAUUAGAUACCCUGGUAGUCCACGCCGUAAACGAUGAGUGCUAGGUGUUGGAUCCUUUCCGGGAUUCAGUGCCGCAGCUAACGCAUUAAGCACUCCGCCUGGGGAGUACGACCGCAAGGUUGAAACUCAAAGGAAUUGACCGGGGGCCCGCACAAGCGG
RNAcentral lists this ribosomal RNA (918 nucleotides) under uncultured bacterium. RNAcentral describes it as "bacterial SSU rRNA". It matches the Rfam family "Bacterial small subunit ribosomal RNA", at positions 33 to 932 of the family's 1533-position model. The record is from RNAcentral.